RNAcentral lists this ribosomal RNA (1042 nucleotides) under Staphylococcus caprae. Its description in RNAcentral is "bacterial SSU rRNA". It matches the Rfam family "Bacterial small subunit ribosomal RNA", at positions 41 to 1063 of the family's 1533-position model. The record is from RNAcentral. Lineage: Bacteria; Bacillati; Bacillota; Bacilli; Caryophanales; Staphylococcaceae.
GGGGGUGCCUAUACUGCAUGUCGAGCGAACAGACGAGGAGCUUGCUCCUCUGACGUUAGCGGCGGACGGGUGAGUAACACGUGGAUAACCUACCUAUAAGACUGGGAUAACUUCGGGAAACCGGAGCUAAUACCGGAUAACAUGUUUAACCGCAUGGUUCAACGGUGAAAGACGGUCUUGCUGUCACUUAUAGAUGGAUCCGCGCCGCAAUAUCUAGUUGGUAAGGUAACGGCUUACCAAGGCAACGAUGCGUAUCCUACCUGAGAGGGUGAUCGGCCACACUGGAACUGAAACACGGUCCAUACUCCUACGGGAGGCAUCAGUGGGGAAUCUUCCGCAAUGGGCGAAAGCCUGACGGAGCACGCCGCGUGAGUGAAGAAGGUCUUCGGAUCGUAAAACUCUGUUAUUAGGGAAGAACAAAUGUGUAAGUAACUAUGCACGUCUUGACGGUACCUAAUCAGAAAGCCACGGCUAACUACGUGCCAGCAGCCGCGGUAAUACGUAGGUGGCAAGCGUUAUCCGGAAUUAUUGGGCGUAAAGCGCGCGUAGGCGGUUUUUUAAGUCUGAUGUGAAAGCCCACGGCUCAACCGUGGAGGGUCAUUGGAAACUGGAAAACUUGAGUGCAGAAGAGGAAAGUGGAAUUCCAUGUGUAGCGGUGAAAUGCGCAGAGAUAUGGAGGAACACCAGUGGCGAAGGCGACUUUCUGGUCUGUAACUGACGCUGAUGUGCGAAAGCGUGGGGAUCAAACAGGAUUAGAUACCCUGGUAGUCCACGCCGUAAACGAUGAGUGCUAAGUGUUAGGGGGUUUCCGCCCCUUAGUGCUGCAGCUAACGCAUUAAGCACUCCGCCUGGGGAGUACGACCGCAAGGUUGAAACUCAAAGGAAUUGACGGGGACCCGCACAAGCGGUGGAGCAUGUGGUUUAAUUCGAAGCAACGCGAGAACCUUACCAAAUCUUGACAUCCUCUGACCCCUCUAGAGAUAGAGUUUUCCCCUUUCGGGGGACAGAGUGACAGGUGGUGCAUGGUUGUUCGUCAGCUCGU